Vicia faba (fava bean) is the source of this 237-nucleotide non-coding RNA. The record is from the annotation of a GenBank genome assembly. Lineage: Eukaryota; Viridiplantae; Streptophyta; Magnoliopsida; Fabales; Fabaceae.
AUGUGGUUUAUGAUCGAAGUUUAUUUGCUAUGCGAUAAUGCUCAUUUCAAUUUGGGGGUUUCUGGUUACUUUGUUUUAUCUACUUCAUUUUAUCUUUGCUGCAAAUGGUUAAAGUUUUGGAACCCUAAGUUUAGAGAAAUUUUCAUUUUUUUUGUUGUGGGUGAUUUUAUUGUUGGAUUUGGGAUUAAUUUUCUUCUUGUAUGCAGGUUUUUUAUUUUAAUUUUUUGGACCUUAUAA